Molecule: transfer RNA, 86 nt
Filed under: Candidatus Methylomirabilota bacterium
Lineage: Bacteria; Methylomirabilota (SeqCode)
Description: tRNA-Leu
Rfam family: tRNA
About the family: Transfer RNA (tRNA) molecules are approximately 80 nucleotides in length. Their secondary structure includes four short double-helical elements and three loops (D, anti-codon, and T loops).
Source: RNAcentral
GCCGAAGUGGUGGAACUGGUAGACACGCUGUCUUGAGGGGGCAGUGGGAAAUACCCGUGCGGGUUCGAGUCCCGCCUUCGGCACCA